GCGGCAUGUCCUGCCCCGGCUUGCAGGGACGCCGUGACUCUGGCUGGGAUUUAAGGUGCGCUUCCCGCCGAGCGGUGUACCCUCGAUCUCCUCGGGCGUUAUUUUACACCUAGCCCCUCAGUUCAGUGCAGCGAUACCAACGGUAAUCCCUGUUUGGAAAGGGUGGUGAACAUUGUCAUGGCUUGAUGGGAAAGAAAAGGUUCUUCAGAGGAAAAAUCCUGGACAUUGAAGAACUGAUGAUCGGUAUCUGUUGGUGUCUGGUUGUCCUGCCCUGUGACCGUUCCUGGUGCAAUUCAAGAAGCAAUGCAGAAAAUACGACGAGGAUGCUUCAGGAGCAUCUGCUCGCAGCACUGGGUGAGACACGUCGGAGCUGACCCCCAGACCAGGGUGAAACUCCCAGUAACUCCUGAAAAAAAACCACCAGCGACCACACAUGCUUCUCCCAGUGCUGAAGCAAUGUGGCUGUCCUUAUGAGCAAAUGAAAAUACUACAAAAGACAUGGAAGCAUCACAGAAAACCACUAAAGAACAAGGUUACAGUCUCCUUAUUCACAGCCUCUACACGUGGUUUAAGGUACUAUUGUGCUCUAUUAGCAUCACCACGAAACAAUCCAACACACUGGAAUAACUUGAGGAAUCAAGACACGAAGACCACCAGGCAAUUUAUACAGAAGACUGAGAUACGGCAUAAAUGUUCAUAUAC
This is a long non-coding RNA of Pygoscelis adeliae (Adelie penguin), 702 nucleotides long. RefSeq lists it as uncharacterized. Lineage: Eukaryota; Metazoa; Chordata; Aves; Sphenisciformes; Spheniscidae. The transcript is spliced from 3 exons. The record is from RefSeq and is a predicted model, not a curated record.